RNAcentral lists this long non-coding RNA (983 nucleotides) under Capsicum annuum. Its description in RNAcentral is "long non-coding RNA (CANN_LNC000206)". Lineage: Eukaryota; Viridiplantae; Streptophyta; Magnoliopsida; Solanales; Solanaceae. The record is from RNAcentral.
CCAUAACACAAUAGCAUCCACAAUGUAGUCUUUUAAAGAGCCUUUGUUUAGGAGAGAUUUUCUCUCUAAUAGUUUUAUGUUUUCUUUUAUGUUUUCUUUUAUAUUAGGUUUUUAUAUGUAGGCCAAUUGGCCAAACUCUACAAUAAUCAUGUUUUUAGUAUGUUUUUCUUUUCGUCUGAUUUAUCGUCUCAAUAGUUUGCAACUAAUAGCUUCCGCAUGACGCCUUCUCAAUUUCGAACCCAACAAAUGGUAUCAGAGCCUAUGGUUCAAUGAUCUAGUGGUUUGGUAAAGCAAGGUUGAAGACAAGUCCAAGGCAGUUCUAAUCAAUUUGCAAUCAAUUAGAUGAUAAUGAAGAUUUUGUCCAACUACAUGUGGAGAAGAUAUUUCAAUUAUAUUUUCAACAAUCCUGCUGUCACAUCAUAAAGCUCUCUUUUAACCCUAUUUAGGGCUUCAAUAUUUUUAACCCAAAAGAGAUAAUAUAUUUUUAACCUAAAAGGGCUCAAUUUGUAAGCAUGACAAACAACAGAGAUAAAUGAAGAUUAUGUGAAGAACCAAAAUUAUGCAUAUGACAUGAAGAAGGCGGAUCAAGUCAAGAAAAUCAAGUUAAAAAGGGGAGAUUUGUUAAGAUUUUUGUCCCGAUUUUCUUACCAAAUUUAAGUUUUACUUUUUCUUGUAAGGAAAAUAAAAGUAACCAUAAAUAAUUUUACUUUUCCUUAAAGAAAAAUAUAAAUUUUUUCCAUAUUUGGCAAACCUCUUUCUUGGAGGAAAGGUUUUGUACAUCUAUAAAUAGAAGACCCCCUUCUCAUACCAUAACACAAUAGCAUCCACAAUGUAGUCUUUUAAAGAGCCUUUGUUUAGGGAGAGAUUUUCUCUCUAAUAGUUUUAUAUUUUCUUUUAUAUUAGGUUUUUAUAUGUAGGUCAAUUGGCCAAACUCUAUAAUAAUCAUAUUUUUAGUAUGUUUUUCUUUUCGUCUGAUUUAUCGU